RNAcentral lists this ribosomal RNA (492 nucleotides) under uncultured bacterium. RNAcentral's name for it is "partial 16S ribosomal RNA". It matches the Rfam family "Bacterial small subunit ribosomal RNA", at positions 29 to 507 of the family's 1533-position model. The record is from RNAcentral.
AGUGAACGCUGGCGGUAGGCCUAACACAUGCAAGUCGAACGGCAGCACAGUAAGAGCUUGCUCUUACGGGUGGCGAGUGGCGGACGGGUGAGGCAUACAUCGGAAUCUACUUUUUCGUGGGGGAUAACGUAGGGAAACUUACGCUAAUACCGCAUACGACCUACGGGUGAAAGCAGGGGAUCUUCGGACCUUGCGCGAUUGAUUGAGCCGAUGUCGGAUUAGCUAGUUGGCGGGGUAAAGGCCCACCAAGGCGACGAUCCGUAGCUGGUCUGAGAGGAUGAUCAGCCACACUGGAACUGAGACACGGUCCAGACUCCUACGGGAGGCAGCAGUGGGGAAUAUUGGACAAUGGGCGCAAGCCUGAUCCAGCCAUACCGCGUGGGUGAAGAAGGCCUUCGGGUUGUAAAGCCCUUUUGUUGGGAAAGAAAAGCAGCAGGUUAAUACCCCGCUGUUCUGACGGUACCCAAAGAAUAAGCACCGGCUAACUUCGUG